GAGGAACUUUUGGGCCUUCUGAAGUGCAGCCCAGCUGAAAGAGCCUCUGCUCCUGGGCUGCUCUCUGACCUGCUGGUGAAGACCCAUUACUGUCAUCACCUUGUUCUACUCAUAGUGAGUUCAUCUGUUCUGCUUGUGGACUGAGCAGACACCGAUAUCUCCAAGGUGGCGGCUUAGCACCACAGGAUAUCCAUAUUCUGUAGUGUGCUCUUGUGAAGUUGCCGCUGCUGCUGAGGACUUAAGCGACUGCUGGCUAUGAUGGACGGGUUUCUGCUGGGCAUAUGGCUGAGUGCAGCUUGUGUUGCUUGGCCACCGUGGCCUCCUGAAGUUGUAAGGGUCUUCCAGCAGAGCAGUGGUUGACUGACAGGGAGAGCUUUUGACAGAUGUUUAUUGGUGAUUGGUUUAUUGAUAGGUCAGCUAGUGGUGCACAAAUGCUUCUGCAAAGGAAAGCAGUGUUUGUGGUUGGUUCCUUUUCACCAGCCCACUCUGUUGUGAGAGGAGCCUCUGCCAGCUGUGUUAAGUGAGAUGACUAAUAUCUGCCACAUACUCAUUAAACACUGUAUUUUUGAUACAUCAUCU
This is a long non-coding RNA of Lagopus leucura (white-tailed ptarmigan), 579 nucleotides long. RefSeq lists it as uncharacterized. The transcript has 4 exons. The record is from RefSeq and is a predicted model, not a curated record. NCBI's taxonomy places the organism in Eukaryota, Metazoa, Chordata, Aves, Galliformes, Phasianidae.